Molecule: ribosomal RNA, 253 nt
Filed under: uncultured bacterium
Lineage: Bacteria
Description: partial 16S ribosomal RNA
Rfam family: Bacterial small subunit ribosomal RNA
Source: RNAcentral
UACGAAGGUGGCAAGCGUUGUUCGGAUUCACUGGGCGUACAGGGAGCGUAGGCGGUUGGGUAAGCCCUUCGUGAAAUCUCCGGGCCUAACCCGGAAAGUGCGAGGGGGACUGCUUGGCUAGAGGAUGGGAGAGGAGCGCGGAAUUCCCGGUGUAGCGGUGAAAUGCGUAGAGAUCGGGAGGAAGGCCGGUGGCGAAGGCGGCGCUCUGGAACAUUUCUGACGCUGAGGCUCGAAAGCGUGGGGAGCAAACAGG